Molecule: non-coding RNA, 96 nt
Organism: Mycena polygramma
Lineage: Eukaryota; Fungi; Basidiomycota; Agaricomycetes; Agaricales; Mycenaceae
Source: the annotation of a GenBank genome assembly
UCGGGUGUGGUGUACGGCACACCGCAGGCUUUGAUGUUGGGCGAGCGCCUCAAUAUAUGUACCUUGCAGACCGGGGUUCGACUCCCCGCAUCCGAA